Lytechinus variegatus (green sea urchin) is the source of this 2803-nucleotide long non-coding RNA. RefSeq lists it as uncharacterized. The transcript is spliced from 2 exons. The record is from RefSeq and is a predicted model, not a curated record. Lineage: Eukaryota; Metazoa; Echinodermata; Echinoidea; Temnopleuroida; Toxopneustidae.
GUAUUCGGGACAUGUGGUGGAUAUUCUCAAAGUGAUUUCAGGAGCUUAUCAUAGGAGAAUCCAAUGACAAAGGAUUUUGUUCAGAAUGGACAACAAAACAAAAUACAAGACCAUAUGAAAACUUAUAUUGCAACCCAAGAGGAUCCUUUGUGAAUUGGGGAUAAACUUUACACCAAGAACAUCUGAUUAAAACCUUCCCAAAUAAGACAAGGACGACAUACAACAAAUAUAGAACCAGUGAGCGAUUGAUCAGCUACUGACAUCACUUCUGUCAGCAAAAAUCAUGAAAAGGUUACUCCUAAUCAUCUGUCACUGAAAUGAAUAACAAUGCUCAGAAAAUGAAAGAAUGGGUGCAUGUAUGACAGUAUAAAUAGAAAAGGGGGAGGGGAAAGUGAGGGGUACAAAAAGGACAGAAGAUUAGAAUUGAAAGAAAAAACAACUUGAACAAUGAGUCAGAGUGGACUACUUCCAAUCAGAUCCCAGGCUGGUAGAAGGAUGAGCUAUGAUAGAGGAUAUACGCUGAGAGAAAAUUCCUGCAAUCAAUGUAGCCAACCAAAACGUGCAUCAGAAUGCUUCGAAAUGUUGCAAAAUCUUUGCUUUUAAAAGAUAUUGUAUCUAGAAUCAUGAUAGCCAUGUCAUCUUGCGCACAGGAAUCAUAUCUGUAAUGAAGACGAAGAACAUCUUAAAUGCUCAAGUAAUAGUAAUAUCAACAUCUUAAAUAUGAGCAGUUUUACAAUCAACGCCAAAUUUGUUGAAUCAGCUCACAUGCAUGGCAGACACUAUCAAAGCACAUUUCAAAAAGAGAAUUCAAGCAACCAAGAUCAGCUGUGAACAGGUGACUUGUCCAGGGUCUCUCCAACCAUUCUUCAAUCUUCAAUUUUUCAAAUUUGUGCAAAGUUAAAGGUGAAAACAUUCACUUGACCAUGGAACAUAAACACAGAUGUGCUCUAUUCGAGCAGUCACCAACACUCUGGCAAGAUAUUUGAAGACGAAACGGGCUUGACACAUAGAAUGGUAAAAAUCAAGAAACACUACAAAGAAUCAAAGGCAGAUGAGGAAGAAACCCACCACAAAUGAUUGCGAAGCACUUCACGAUUGAUCCGCAAAUGGACACACAAAUCUGACAUGACUGGACGACAGAGGUGAAGAUGAUGAACACUUGAUCCAUGGCUGGAUUCCUUCCAUCUUGAUAUAGUAACUUCAACAAAUGAUUCACUGAAAAAAAAGUCCAACACCAAAUGCAGUUUGUAUUGACUUUUGAAACAAGAAAAAUAAACCCCACCAAAAUAUCAGAGAAUGAGAUAAAGAGAGUGAGAGAAAGGAGGGGGGGUGGGGGGACAGGUGAGAUUGGGAAGACAGGGAAUAAGCACUCUGGAAGCAUUCAUAUGAUAUGGGGUGUGUCUAGUCUUCAGAAAAUUCAGAAAAAGAUGUACUAAAUGUAGUAGUAUGGUAGCCUUCCUUCAUGCAUCAUACAUAUCUUGGCUGGGAAAGGUUCACAUGAAGGAAAUGCGUUAAUUACUAAUGGCAAGUUACAAGCUACAUGUACUAUGGUAUUUCAUUUAAAGGAAAUGGAAUAACAUCCUAUGGUGUCACAGUUUUAAAAGCAAAUGUUAUCAAUAAGUUUUAUAAAACAGGGUCCAUUGGCAUAGUAAAGUACAUAAGGGAUUAUACCAUGGACUAGACACACCCUUAGUAAGGCACAAUUGGUUCAAUACAAAAUAACGGGCCACCUUUUGCUUUCGUUGGCCAAGGUCAAAUGUACAAAACCUACUAAAAAACUGAUCUUCUUUAAUGACAGAACUUUUGGCCUUGACUUCAUAUCUGACAAAAUGGCUAGUUUUAAGAACUUUACAAAGAUGUUUAACAGCGUCAAUAAGGAGACUCGGAUUUCUCAUUCAUGAUCACUAUCAGCCUUACUCCUAAAUUAGAGAGAGCACAGCGUUAGGGAAUAUAAGAUUCUGCAUCAUGAAUGAAGUUUUGAAAUCUGAAGCACCUUAAUAUCGAGAAAUGAAAAUACCUGACUUUUGCAAAGAAUUUACUUUGUUAAAUUUAAAAAAAGGGAGAUGGGUAUCCAGGCAUACAAUUGUCAACACUUGAAAAUUCAUUAGAAUAGAAUGCCGAGAAACCGGAUAAUGGCACAUAUGAAUUAAUAAGUGUUUUAAAAGCUAAAAUACAUCAGCAUUGGUCACUUUUCAGAUGAUUUAUCAUCAAUUUCAGUUUGUAAACUUGUUGUUUGAAAUAGAAAUUUGUUAAUGAAAUUUCUGAUAAAUACUUUGAAAAAAAAAAGAAAAGAAGAUUCUCAAGUAAUCAUGGACAUUGGAAAGAAAAACAGAAAAUUGCAGAUAAUUAAAGCUAAAUGUACAUGUAUGAGAUGAAUUUGAAAAGAAAAACUAGAAAUGUAAAAAAAAUCAUUUUUUGGUCAAGAAUCAAAUUGGAUAUUUUUUGUUAGAAAUCAUUUACAAUGCUGAUUUUAAUGUCAAUUCAUGAGUACUGUUUCAAUUACAAAAGUGAUAUUUCAGGCAAAAUAAAUGAAAUUGCAAAUCAAAAUUAUUUCCGAUGCUUAUUUCCAUAUCAAUACAUCAGAAUGAACAGAAAAAUGAUAACAUUGAUAUUUCAGACAAAAUAAGUGAAAUAUUCGCAUAUGAACAGAUAUCAAUUGCAACAACGUUUAAAAGACUAAGAAAUACAUAUGUCACAUCAAUAUUCCUGAUAUUAACUGAUGGCUUCUCAGUGCAAACUUGCUAUCAAGAAAAAAAACAUUGAUAGUAUUUGGAGAAAUAAAACAUGGAAAAUAAAUCUGAAG